This 588-nucleotide ribosomal RNA is filed under the name Subulicystidium brachysporum. RNAcentral describes it as "LSU rRNA". It matches the Rfam family "Eukaryotic large subunit ribosomal RNA", at positions 66 to 668 of the family's 3401-position model. The record is from RNAcentral. Lineage: Eukaryota; Fungi; Basidiomycota; Agaricomycetes; Trechisporales; Hydnodontaceae.
UAACAAGGAUUCCCCUAGUAACUGCGAGUGAAGCGGGAUGAGCUCAAAUUUGAAAUCUGGCGGUUCCGCCGUCCGAGUUGUAAUCUGGAGAAGCGUUUUCCGUGCCGGACCGUGUACAAGUCCCUUGGAACAGGGCGUCAUAGAGGGUGAGAAUCCCGUCUUUGACACGGACUCCCGGUGCUCUGCGAUGCGCUCUCGAAGAGUCGAGUUGUUUGGGAAUGCAGCUCAAAAUGGGUGGUAAAUUCCAUCUAAAGCUAAAUAUUGGCGAGAGACCGAUAGCGAACAAGUACCGUGAGGGAAAGAUGAAAAGCACUUUGGAAAGAGAGUAAAACAGUACGUGAAAUUGUUGAAAGGGAAACGCUUGAAGUCAGUCGCGUCUUCUGGGACUCAGCCUUGCUCUGCUUGGUGCAUUUCCCAGUUUGACGGGUCAGCAUCGGCUCUGGGGGGCGGACAAAGGCGYGGGGAAGGUGGCAGCUCCGGCUGCGUUAUAGCCCCGCGUUACGCGUCCCCCGGGACCGAGGAAUCCGGCGCUCGCGCCUGGGAUGCUGGCGUAAUGGCUUUAAACGACCCGUCUUGAACCACGGACCA